GAACGCUGGCGGCGUGCUUAACACAUGCAAGUCGAACGGUGAAGCGCCUUCCUUUUUGGUGGGUGUGGAUGAGUGGCGAACGGGUGAGUAACACGUGAGUAACCUGCCCCCUUCUUCUGGAUAACCGCAUGAAAGUGUGGCUAAUACGGGAUAUUCUGGGUCUGUCGCAUGAUGGGUCUGGGAAAGAUAUUGUUUCGGUGGGGGAUGGGCUCGCGGCCUAUCAGCUUGUUGGUGGGGUGAUGGCCUACCAAGGCGGUGACGGGUAGCCGGCCUGAGAGGGUGGACGGUCACACUGGGACUGAGACACGGCACAGACUCCUACGAGAGGCAGCAGUGGGGAAUAUUGCACAAUGGGCGCAAGCCUGAUGCAGCGACGCCGCGUGAGGGAUGGAGGCCUUCGGGUUGUGAACCUCUUUCGCCAGUGAAGCAGGCCUGCCUCGUUUGUGGGUGGGUUGACGGUAGCUGGAUAAGAAGCGCCGGCUAACUACGUG
This 491-nucleotide ribosomal RNA is filed under the name uncultured bacterium. Its description in RNAcentral is "partial 16S ribosomal RNA". It matches the Rfam family "Bacterial small subunit ribosomal RNA", at positions 31 to 507 of the family's 1533-position model. The record is from RNAcentral.